CAAUAUCUGAAAACAGAGCAGCCACACAUGAGUGACAGCAUGGCACUGAGAGUCGGCAGCUUCUAACUCCAUGUUCUACAUAAGGGACCAAGGGUCUAACCUAUCCUAGAGCUUUUGAUAACUAGCCCACACAUCUAUCGAUGUGUUCCUGGAAGUCCCCUGCUCUAUAAGAAAAUGAUCUACACACUAGAAAUUGGUGGCUGUGCUCUCUGUAUCACAUUCUCUGGUGACCACGGACAGGCCACGAU
This is a long non-coding RNA of Prionailurus viverrinus (fishing cat), 248 nucleotides long. RefSeq lists it as uncharacterized. NCBI's taxonomy places the organism in Eukaryota, Metazoa, Chordata, Mammalia, Carnivora, Felidae. The record is from RefSeq and is a predicted model, not a curated record. The transcript has 3 exons.